ACCCAGGUCUCGUCAAUCUACAAUAGCCCACUCGGCCUCCCUCCUCGACAGCGAGCUCGUCACUCAAGAAGACAAUGUCGCUCUGUUUGAAGACCUCCGAAUCUUCCCGGAGCACGCAAAUUCAAACCCUGAACCGAGGAGCUUUCCAUACAGCGUGAAGCAGCAAUGCUGGGAGAAGGCGGAGAAGGUCAAGGGCCGAGACCCAGACCGGUGGCGCCGCGACCCCCUUGGUAAUAUUGUCUUUAGAAAGCUUGUGGGUUGUCCCGGUUGCUUGUGCCACGAUUACGAUCACAUUGUGCCUUACUCUAAGGUACUUCUGAUAAUGCGUUCCCUUUUCUCCUUUACUUUGAGAUUCUAAGAAGCGGGUUUGCUCUAGUAUAUGAGUGUUGCAUUUUCUUUGUGGGUGAUGCCUGAUUGGCUUAUUUUAUAAAGAUUAUUUCGUUCGUUCACGUUUGUAAUUACAAAUGACAAAAUCAAAUUGUAAGCGCUUUGUUUUCUGGAUGUUGCUUUUCUCGGUUGUGCCUGGGAUUAUGUGAAGUGGGUUGCUUUGGUGUUUGGAGCUGAGAUUUAUGGAUGGGUAGCUCUUUCAUGUUUUCUCAAGAACUAGAAAGAACAUAAGUGCCGGAGAAAAUGCACUUGAUGAUGGAAAAAGAGCAUAAUCGAGAUAGAGUGAACAGAUAGUUAACAAAUUAAUAGCAAAAGGCAAGUUUUUUAGAUGCCAACGAAAUUGAAGCUACUUCUUGUGUUUGUUUGGGUUAGCGAGGGCAAUUUUAGUGCUGGAAGAUGGUCAUUUGCACUAAAUGCUUAGUGCCAGUGGUUUGCCUGAGUGUUGUUCCGUUAUGAACAAUGAUACUAUGACUGCAGAUGAGUGGGCAUAAAACAGAAAAUGUGGGCUUUUGCCUUGAUGCAGAUGCUACAAUUACAUGUAUUUAUGUGAUAGAGCUGGAUAGGAAUUGCACCAUUUGAAAUGUAUUAAUUAUUUCAUUUUAUGAAUGAGCAAUGUUCCUAUGAUUGGCUUGAGUGUGUUAUUGAGCUGUCACUACUGAUAUUUGUGUUUAACAAUUAUUGGAUCAAAUUUCUGCCUUUAAAUGGAGUGUUUGAAUAUUUUCUUUAACAGUGAUAGGGUUGAUCAUGUUGAAAAAACAAUUAAGUCUUGCUUGAUUGAUUUCUGCCUUUAAAAACUUGAAGUUUUAUGUGUUGAUUGUAUGCAAUAACAAUUCUUAAAUACACUUCUUUAAACUUAGUUAGUGGGAUAUGAUAAAUUGUCAAUAGUGCAAUUGCUCUGAAUAUGUGAGUUAGAGACAAGGUAACAAUCAAUUCUUUUGGUGUUGAGGUAGAAGUAGGUGGAAGAAAAAAAGAGUCUGGCAUGGGCGCAUCGCAUGUGUGAAAAAAUCUAAGAGGUGAUAUGGAAGCUUGCAAUAAUGUAGAAGUAGGUGAAUGCUGUGGUAGAUGUUGACACUAGAGAUCACUAGCAGCAGCAUCAUUUAGAGUGCACUACCAUGAUAGAUUGGACGAUAGAACAGCUGAAGCAAGAGCAGAUCAGUUUGAAUUUGAGCUUAGAGAUGCAUAAUGAAGCAUCUAUUGAGUGUGGUGAAGGUGUAGGAGUAGGACCCUUUUUCUUUUUAUUUUGUGAGAAAGUAAAAUCUGGUCAAUUCAACUUCAUCAGACUUGAUAAGCUGGCAAAUUUCUCCUUGUUAGACAUCAUAUUAUAGGCUUAAAUUAUCUGGUGCCUUCUCUGUAAUUUAAUCUUCUUUCAAAGAUACUAGAAUUAUGCAGUGGGCAGCUUAAGGCGAGUGGCGACAGGGUACUUUAUUGCCUUAUGUUAGAGGCGAGGGGAGGCGAGGGCCUUUUUU
RNAcentral lists this unclassified non-coding RNA (1853 nucleotides) under Hevea brasiliensis (rubber tree). Lineage: Eukaryota; Viridiplantae; Streptophyta; Magnoliopsida; Malpighiales; Euphorbiaceae. The record is from RNAcentral.